UACGUAGGGUGCAAGCGUUGUCCGGAAUUAUUGGGCGUAAAGAGCUCGUAGGCGGUCUGUUGCGUCGGCUGUGAAAACCCGGGGCUCAACCCCGGGCCUGCAGCCGAUACGGGCAGACUAGAGUUCGGCAGGGGAGACUGGAAUUCCAGGUGUAGCGGUGAAAUGCGUAGAUAUCUGGAGGAAUACCGGUGGCGAAGGCGGCAUCCUGGACCGGCAUUGACGCUGAUGAGCGAAAGCUAGGGGAGCAAACGGG
Molecule: ribosomal RNA, 253 nt
Filed under: uncultured bacterium
Lineage: Bacteria
Description: partial 16S ribosomal RNA
Rfam family: Bacterial small subunit ribosomal RNA
Source: RNAcentral